CCUACGGGUGGCAGCAGUGGGGAAUAUUGCACAAUGGGGGGAACCCUGAUGCAGCGACGCCGCGUGAGGGAAGAAGUCUCUCCGUAUGGAAAGCUCUAUCAGCAGGGAAGAAGAUGAAGGCACCUGAGCAAGAAGCCCCGGCUAACUACGUGCCAGCAGCCGCGGCAAUACGGAGGGGGCCAGCGUUAUCCGGAUUUACUGGGUGUAAGGGGAGCGUAGACGGGAGGGCAAGUCUGGAGUGAAAGCCCGGGGCUCAACCCCGGGACUGCUUUGGAAACUGUCAUGCUGGAGUGCAGGAGAGGUAAGCGGAAUUCGUAGUGUAGCGGUGAAAUGCGUAGAUAUUAGGAAGAACACCAGUUGCGAAGGCGGCUUACUGAACAGUAACUGACGUUGAGGCUCGAAAGCGUGGGGAGCAAACAGGAUUAGAUACCCCAGUAGUC
RNAcentral lists this ribosomal RNA (440 nucleotides) under uncultured bacterium. Its description in RNAcentral is "partial 16S ribosomal RNA". It matches the Rfam family "Bacterial small subunit ribosomal RNA", at positions 338 to 795 of the family's 1533-position model. The record is from RNAcentral.